RNAcentral lists this transfer RNA (71 nucleotides) under Chaunax penicillatus (pencil coffinfish). RNAcentral describes it as "tRNA-Ala". It matches the Rfam family "tRNA". Rfam says of the family: Transfer RNA (tRNA) molecules are approximately 80 nucleotides in length. Their secondary structure includes four short double-helical elements and three loops (D, anti-codon, and T loops). Lineage: Eukaryota; Metazoa; Chordata; Actinopteri; Lophiiformes; Chaunacidae. The record is from RNAcentral.
UAAGGCUUUAUCUUAAUUAAAGUGUCUGUUUCGCAUACAGGCGAUGUGGGUUAGUGUCCCGCAGGCCUUAC